RNAcentral lists this ribosomal RNA (1248 nucleotides) under 'Syringa oblata' yellows phytoplasma. RNAcentral's name for it is "bacterial SSU rRNA". It matches the Rfam family "Bacterial small subunit ribosomal RNA", at positions 153 to 1399 of the family's 1533-position model. The record is from RNAcentral. Lineage: Bacteria; Bacillati; Mycoplasmatota; Mollicutes; Acholeplasmatales; Acholeplasmataceae.
ACGACUGCUGCUAAGACUGGAUAGGAAGAUAAAAGGCAUCUUGUAUCUUUUAAAAGACCUAGUUAAUAGGUAUGCUUUAGGAGGGGCUUGCGCCAUAUUAGUUAGUUGGUAGGGUAAUGGCCUACCAAGACGAUGAUGUGUAGCUGGACUGAGAGGUUGAACAGCCACAUUGGGACUGAGACACGGCCCAAACUCCUACGGGAGGCAGCAGUAGGGAAUUUUCGGCAAUGGAGGAAACUCUGACCGAGCAACGCCGCGUGAAUGACGAAGUACUUCGGUAUGUAAAGUUCUUUUAUCGAGGAAGAAAAGCAAAUGGCGAACCAUUUGUUUGCCGGUACUUGAUGAAUAAGCCCCGGCUAAUUAUGUGCCAGCAGCCGCGGUAAGACAUAAGGGGCAAGUGUUAUCCGGAAUUAUUGGGCGUAAAGGGUGCGUAGGCGGUCUAGUAAGUCAGUGGUGUAAUGGCAACGCUUAACGUUGUCCGGCUAUUGAAACUGCUAAACUUGAGUUAGAUAGAGGCGAGUGGAAUUCCAUGUGUAGCGGUAAAAUGCGUAAAUAUAUGGAGGAACACCAGAGGCGUAGGCGGCUCGCUGGGUCUUAACUGACGCUGAGGCACGAAAGCGUGGGGAGCAAACAGGAUUAGAUACCCUGGUAGUCCACGCCGUAAACGAUGAGUACUAAGUGUCGGGUUAAACCGGUACUGAAGUUAACACAUUAAGUACUCCGCCUGAGUAGUACGUACGCAAGUAUGAAACUUAAAGGAAUUGACGGGACUCCGCACAAGCGGUGGAUCAUGUUGUUUAAUUCGAAGAUACCCGAAAAACCUUACCAGGUCUUGACAUGUUUUUGCAAAAUGAUAGUAAUAUCGUGGAGGUUACCAGAAACACAGGUGGUGCAUGGUUGUCGUCAGCUCGUGUCGUGAGAUGUUAGGUUAAGUCCUAAAACGAGCGAAACCCUUAUCGUUAGUUGCCAGCACGUUAUGGUGGGGACUUUAACGAGACUGCCAAUGAUAAAUUGGAGGAAGGUGAGGAUCACGUCAAAUCAGCAUGCCCCUUAUGACCUGGGCUACAAACGUGAUACAAUGGCUGUUACAAAGGGUAGCUGAAACGCAAGUUCUUGGCCAAUCCCCAAAAACAGUCCCAGUCCGGAUUGAAGUCUGCAACUCGACUUCAUGAAGUUGGAAUCGCUAGUAAUCGCGAAUCAGCAUGUCGCGGUGAAUACGUUCACGGGGUUUGUACACACCGCCCGUCA